RNAcentral lists this long non-coding RNA (518 nucleotides) under Lathyrus oleraceus (garden pea). RNAcentral's name for it is "Pisum sativum (pea) long non-coding RNA (PSAT_LNC020344)". The record is from RNAcentral. Lineage: Eukaryota; Viridiplantae; Streptophyta; Magnoliopsida; Fabales; Fabaceae.
AUGGAAAGGAAAAUCGUGGGUGUUUGGUUAGUAAAUAGUUUGAGGUAGAUUUAUAAUUUAUCUGGUAUGUUUUAUCCAAUCUUAAAUUUCUAAGACUAUUCUUAUAGUUAUAUUAUUAAAAAAUGGCAUAGGUUUUAUCCCUUUCGGAAAGCUCACUGAGGUGGAAGUAUUUCAUAUCACUCUAUUGAUUAUUUUUUAUGGGUAAGUUUUUCAUCCAAAUCCAACGAAGCUGGAUCACAGCGAGUCUAGAUUUAAAAUUCUAUAUUAUAAUUUUAAUAUAAAAAUUCUUAGGUUGUAAAAUAUUAUCAAGCUUCUUUUUUUAUAAAAUAUUUUAAUUAAUUUGGUAUUCAAUUAUUAGUGAAAUUUGAACUCUAUAAUAAUAAAUAAUGUUUAUGUAUUGAGAAAAAUAUCCAAUUUGAUCAACUAUCUGAUUAUAAAAUGCCUCCAUUCUCCCUAAAAUUCCCUUUUCCAAAAUUGAAAUUUACUGUACUAAAUACCCUUAAUAGUAAUUAGCUUAA